Molecule: ribosomal RNA, 427 nt
Filed under: uncultured bacterium
Lineage: Bacteria
Description: bacterial SSU rRNA
Rfam family: Bacterial small subunit ribosomal RNA
Source: RNAcentral
UGGGGAAUUUUGGACAAUGGGGGCAACCCUGAUCCAGCCAUCCCGCGUGUGCGAUGAAGGCCUUCGGGUUGUAAAGCACUUUUGGCAGGGAAGAAACAGCCUGGGCUAAUAUCCCGGGCGACUGACGGUACCUGCAGAAUAAGCACCGGCUAACUACGUGCCAGCAGCCGCGGUAAUACGUAGGGUGCAAGCGUUAAUCGGAAUUACUGGGCGUAAAGCGUGCGCAGGCGGCUCGGAAAGAAAGGUGUGAAAUCCCAGGGCUUAACCUUGGAACUGCACUUUUAACUACCGGGCUAGAGUACGUCAGAGGGGGGUAGAAUUCCACGUGUAGCAGUGAAAUGCGUAGAGAUGUGGAGGAAUACCGAUGGCGAAGGCAGCCCCCUGGGAUGAUACUGACGCUCAUGCACGAAAGCGUGGGGAGCAAACA